AAACUUACCUGGCUGGGAGGAUCUCGCGAUCACGAAGGCGGGACCUCCAUGGUGAGGCUUGGCCAUUGCACUUCUCGGUCCGGCUGACCCGUGUGGCUAUCCCGAGUUGGGGUCAGCCAACAGCAAAAUUUUUGCGUUUGGGGACAGCGUUCGCGCUUCCCCGCU
RNAcentral lists this small nuclear RNA (165 nucleotides) under Loa loa (African eye worm). RNAcentral describes it as "U1 spliceosomal RNA". It matches the Rfam family "U1 spliceosomal RNA". From Rfam's summary of the family: U1 is a small nuclear RNA (snRNA) component of the spliceosome (involved in pre-mRNA splicing). Lineage: Eukaryota; Metazoa; Nematoda; Chromadorea; Rhabditida; Onchocercidae. The record is from RNAcentral.